Molecule: ribosomal RNA, 253 nt
Filed under: uncultured bacterium
Lineage: Bacteria
Description: partial 16S ribosomal RNA
Rfam family: Bacterial small subunit ribosomal RNA
Source: RNAcentral
UACGGGGGGAGCAAGCGUUGUUCGGAUUUACUGGGCGUAAAGCGUGCGCAGGCGGUUUGUUAAGUCCGUUGUGAAAGCCCCGAGCUCAACUUGGGAAUUGCAGUGGAUACUGGCAGGCUGGAGUACGGUAGAGGAAGGUGGAAUUCCCGGUGUAGCAGUGAAAUGCGUAGAUAUCGGGAGGAACACCAGUGGCGAAGGCGGCCUUCUGGACCAGUACUGACGCUCAUGCACGAAAGCGUGGGGAGCAAACAGG